Ursus americanus (American black bear) is the source of this 94-nucleotide small nucleolar RNA. Its record names the gene SNORD116. It matches the Rfam family "Small nucleolar RNA SNORD116". From Rfam's summary of the family: HBII-85 is a member of the C/D class of snoRNAs, which contain the C (UGAUGA) and D (CUGA) box motifs. HBII-85 is encoded in a tandemly repeated array with another C/D snoRNA, HBII-52, in the Prader-Willi syndrome (PWS) region of chromosome 15. Unlike most other snoRNAs, HBII-85 is expressed prevalently in the brain (but is absent in PWS patients) and lacks any significant complementarity with ribosomal RNA. The record is from Ensembl. NCBI's taxonomy places the organism in Eukaryota, Metazoa, Chordata, Mammalia, Carnivora, Ursidae.
UGAUUGACAAGGACUCCCACAUACGCAUUCCUUGGAAAUCGGAACAAAAUGAGCAAAAACAAAAAGAAUUACAAUGUCUUUUCUCCUUUACUUG